CCAGCCGGCUCCCUCUCUCCCCUUUUAUUCUUGUGGGAACUCAACCUGAGAAGAGCCGAAGAGGAGUGGAUCCCCAGCCAAGUUGCUUCCUCUGUUUCACGCCUGGCCUUUUAUAGGUUCCAAUCUUUCUUUCCUCUUCCUUAUUUCGAAUCAUGGAUAAGGAUGAACCCUUUGCCGUUGGGAUGAAGUUUGGCCUGAUUCGCUGGACUGCUAUGGUUCGGAUCUUAGAUCCGGCUGCUGGGAUGCUGAUCAAAGGAGAAGAUGCGUGAAGCCGGACGCGUGGAAAGAUGAAGUCAAUCCGAACGGCUGGAAUGCU
Molecule: long non-coding RNA, 316 nt
Filed under: Phoenix dactylifera (date palm)
Lineage: Eukaryota; Viridiplantae; Streptophyta; Magnoliopsida; Arecales; Arecaceae
Description: long non-coding RNA (PDAC_LNC013868)
Source: RNAcentral